GAUGAACGCUGGCGGCGUGCCUAAUACAUGCAAGUCGAGCGAACAGACGAGGAGCUUGCUCCUCUGACGUUAGCGGCGGACGGGUGAGUAACACGUGGAUAACCUACCUAUAAGACUGGGAUAACUUCGGGAAACCGGAGCUAUUACCGGAUAAUAUAUUGAACCGCAUGGUUCAAUAGUGAAAGACGGUUUUGCUGUCACUUAUAGAUGGAUCCGCGCCGCAUUAGCUAGUUGGUAAGGUAACGGCUUACCAAGGCAACGAUGCGUAGCCGACCUGAGAGGGUGAUCGGCCACACUGGAACUGAGACACGGUCCAGACUCUUACGGGAGGCAGCAGUAGGGAAUCUUCCGCAAUGGGCGAAAGCCUGACGGAGCAACGCCGCGUGAGUGAUGAAGGUCUUCGGAUCGUAAAACUCUGUUAUUAGGGAAGAACAAAUGUGUAAGUAACUAUGCACGUCUUGACGGUACCUAAUCAGAAAGCCACGGCUAACUACGUG
RNAcentral lists this ribosomal RNA (497 nucleotides) under uncultured bacterium. RNAcentral's name for it is "partial 16S ribosomal RNA". It matches the Rfam family "Bacterial small subunit ribosomal RNA", at positions 28 to 507 of the family's 1533-position model. The record is from RNAcentral.